UAUCCGAGGGACGAAAGGGUGGACAAGGCUGUCAGAAGCGCCGAACAACCUGGACCAGACUGGCAGACACAUGACGUCAGAGUAAUUGGAUCAUGCGGUAUUAUAUUAAUAUUGUAUUAAUUGGCCGUUUUAAACGGAUAUAAAAAAUCACUUUGUUAUAUAUGUUGGGGGAAACAACAUUUUAAUCACAUUGUUCUGUUUAUAAUUCUGUACUUUUUCAUUGUGUUUAUGUGACUUAAUUUUUAGAUAAUUACUUGGUGGAAAUAUAUGUUUUGCGACACAUCAGAUCUCCAGUCAGAAGAGGAGGCAUUUCCUAAAAAGAGGAAGCCAAUGCCGGUCCAUUUCUAUGGAGACUCGGAUGAAGACAGUGAAAAUGAAAAUUCCCCCCACAAAACAGGGGUCCAACCACUAGCGGGACAGUUGUCCCUCCAAUCAUUGCCUCCUCCUAACUAUUCCAUGUACUCCAUCACCAGCAGGACAGCGAACACGCCAGGGGGACACGCCCACCUGGCGAGGGGCGUGUGGUUCAGACACCAUUGCCUGCUGUGCUGUUCCAGUUCAAAUCCUAGGCAUGCUGGAGACAAUUACAGAGGUGAGAGACCCGGUUCCGUUUCCGUGUACCACAAUGGAGGAAGUGGACCUUUUUGAGCAACGGCUCAAAGAUCCCGUCAACAUUCUAAUGAGUAGUGAGUUUUUUUGUUUUAAGAAUCUCACGCAAAGCUGAUUAAAAUCUAUUGUAUGUAAUUAACACUAGACAAUACCAUGUUUGAUGGAAAUGUUUUUUCAAACAUUCUGUAAAGUAUCAAAUAUUAAUCGUACUUUUUCGAUCCAUUUUCGAUUUCCUCCCUGGCAACGAUCGGACGACAUGAUGCCAAACGUGGAACAUCCUCUUAUGAAUGGAAAAAAAUUAUUCAGUCAAAUGUCAUCUAAGACUUUGCUCCUGCAUGCCGUCAGAAAGAAUCAUGCCACACAUGCAUCCACUGAUGAACAGAUUCUAAAGCAUGCCAUUAGGUGGUUCAACCUGGCAGCAAACCGGGGUAGCUCCAG
Long non-coding RNA from Pseudoliparis swirei, 1047 nucleotides. RefSeq lists it as uncharacterized. The record is from RefSeq and is a predicted model, not a curated record. Lineage: Eukaryota; Metazoa; Chordata; Actinopteri; Perciformes; Liparidae. The transcript has 4 exons.